AACAGUAGUCCGCACAUUGGUUA
Molecule: microRNA, 23 nt
Filed under: Danio rerio (zebrafish)
Lineage: Eukaryota; Metazoa; Chordata; Actinopteri; Cypriniformes; Danionidae
Description: Dre-Mir-199-P3-v2_3p (mature (guide))
Source: RNAcentral